Molecule: ribosomal RNA, 521 nt
Filed under: uncultured bacterium
Lineage: Bacteria
Description: bacterial SSU rRNA
Rfam family: Bacterial small subunit ribosomal RNA
Source: RNAcentral
GGGACCUAGCGUAGUUCGGAAUUACUGGGCUUAAAGAGUUCGUAGGUGGUUGAAAAAGUUAGUGGUGAAAUCCCAGAGCUUAACUCUGGAACUGCCAUUAAAACUUUUCAGCUAGAGUAUGAUAGAGGAAAGCAGAAUUUCUAGUGUAGAGGUGAAAUUCGUAGAUAUUAGAAAGAAUACCAAUUGCGAAGGCAGCUUUCUGGAUCAUUACUGACACUGAGGAACGAAAGCAUGGGUAGCGAAGAGGAUUAGAUACCCCUGUAGUCCUAGCCGUAAACGAUGAACACUAGGUGUCGGGGGAAUCGACCCCUCGGUGUCGUAGCCAACGCGUUAAGUGUUCCGCCUGGGGAGUACGCACGCAAGUGUGAAACUCAAAGGAAUUGACGGGGGCCCGCACAAGCGGUGGAGUAUGUGGUUUAAUUCGAUGCAACGCGAAGAACCUUACCAGGGUUUGACAUCCUGCGGAUCUCUUGGAAACGAGAGAGUGCCUUCGGGAGCGCAGUGACAGGUGGUGCAUGGCU